GCGCGCGCGCACUACCUCUCCACUUAAGUAACUCGCGCGCUACCACACAUUCGCACGGCGGCGUUACAGAUUAAAAAAAUUAUCCACUUUAUUCACACACAUUUAAUCGAACCAUAAGAAGACGUACUCGCGAGCGGUAACGGACAGACGCGCGCUGUUCUUCCGACGCACACACCAUUAAAACACCGCCGAGUCAAGAAACGGAUGAGCGCAUGCGAUAUACAUACCGACAUAUAACAAAAACAUAUCUCGCCGUCUCCAGCAUUACACGCAUCUCCAUGCGCCGUCGAUAACACACUUCAAGGAAAGAUAAAAAUAAAAAUGAAUUUAAUCAUCUUGAGUGUUAUAUUGAUGCAAUGUGUGUUUGCAUUCGAUGACACACCGCGAUUUUUCACUAAUGGUCAUGGAGGUUACCAGUUUUUCCACGCGGAUGAACAUUUAAUCCACUCCGAUCGUCGUAUUGACGCCGAAGGCAGUUAUUCCGAUGUGAAUCACGUGAUACAACCAUUACCACAGCCUCAAAGUGAGGUUAAAGUUACUAGUGCGCCAUCUGUACGUCAAAAUCAUAAACCUGUACCUAAAAUAAAGUUUGCCAAACGUGUGCUCGUGAAAAGUGAGCAAAGUGAUGAGGAUUUAUCAUCGGAAAAUCGUAUUUUACAAGAUGUCACCACACAGAAACCUCUACGCACAACAAGUAUCAUGAAUCCGAUGCGAAAACGUAUCGUUGUGAGGAAAUUUAAACCGCGUGCGAAGACACCGAAGCCGCCGACGGAGAAGAACAAGAAAAGAGAAAUCUCCUCUGCCGCGACCGGCAACGGACUCCAUGGCGCGCGUAGCAAGAUUCCGCACAAGUACAAGUUCACGAACAGAAACUUCAAGCCGCGACAGGUUGAAAAGCCGAAGAACAAUGCGCCGCCAAAGCAAUACAAUCGCGGCGCGUUGUUUACGCGAAAACCCAGCGAGACGCUCAUGCAGUUGCAUUUUCGUAAACUUGACAUAACCACAACAACGACAUCAGCGUCACCUAUACAAUCGAUGAAAGAAAAACGACAUUUGGCAAACAUCCGGUUUUUUAAUCGGAGAAAAUUACGCACGUAGAUCUUCAUAAUGAGUACGGAAGUCAUGAAAAUCCAUUUAAAUGUUAAAAAACACUCAAUUUCAAGGCCAAAUGUUUAAAAACAUAAAAAACGUUAUUUUCCGCUGCGCGUCUGUGAUUAUUUUAAAUUAUUUAUACAUAAACAUUUUGGUACAUGGCGUAGACGUAGAUUAACUAUUAAAUAUUUAAUUGAUCAUACCGCACAUAUUUUUUUAUUCUUUGUGACAUACCUUGUAAUGAAUAAUAAAUAAAUAAUGUAAUAAAA
Dalotia coriaria is the source of this 1361-nucleotide long non-coding RNA. RefSeq lists it as uncharacterized. The record is from RefSeq and is a predicted model, not a curated record. Lineage: Eukaryota; Metazoa; Arthropoda; Insecta; Coleoptera; Staphylinidae. The transcript is spliced from 3 exons.